RNAcentral lists this transfer-messenger RNA (270 nucleotides) under Pseudohaemophilus parahaemolyticus. RNAcentral's name for it is "Haemophilus parahaemolyticus partial transfer-messenger RNA". It matches the Rfam family "transfer-messenger RNA", at positions 99 to 374 of the family's 374-position model. Rfam says of the family: Bacterial tmRNA, also known as 10Sa RNA or SsrA, is named for its dual tRNA and mRNA-like properties. Its role is to liberate the mRNA from a stalled ribosome. To accomplish this part of the tmRNA is used as a reading frame that ends in a translation stop signal. Lineage: Bacteria; Pseudomonadati; Pseudomonadota; Gammaproteobacteria; Pasteurellales; Pasteurellaceae. The record is from RNAcentral.
GACGAACAAUUCGCUUUAGCAGCUUAAUAACCUGCCUUAAAGCCUUAUCGCCUCAGCUUCCGCUCGUAAGACGAGGAUAACGAUAAGUCACCCAAAACGAGAUCGUGUUGAAGCCACCGUUUGAGGAUCGAAGCACUAAAUUAAAUCAAACUAGUUUACUCUUUGCGUGUCUGUCCGCUGGGGGUAAGCGAAAUUAAAGACCAGACUAAACGUGUAGUGCUAAAGGUAGAGUAAUUUCGGACGGGGGUUCAAAUCCCCCCAGCUCCACCA